AAAUAAUUAGGACCGAGAAUUUCCUGUCUGCCCCCCUCUCCUGCACGCCCUCCGUCCGCACAAUUUUUUACCCCUCCCAUCGAUCUGAGUUCGAUACCUGAAAAUUACAUUAUCGAUCGUCGAAAAAUAGAACCACGAUCCACUGGUCCUCCGCACCCGAGCGCACCCCACUGCCAACGCCGCCGCGCACCCUACUUCGCUGCCUCCGUGAACCCAGGCCUCUGCCGCCGUCGCCGCACCCGUCCCGUGAAGCCGCCAGCUAUCCACACCCCAUCCCCCCGCACUCCACUGCCAACGUCGCCGUCGGUUGUCGCCUCUGCUGCUGCACAGCCUGCUCCCGUCGCCUUGUCUUAGCUAGGAAUUUCCUACUCGUGGCCUCAUCUUUGAUCCGUGAUGAACAUGAGGCAUGAAGUAUGAACCUACUCGAUUCUUCCUUCAGCAUCCUCUGUCUCAUGGUUUAUUCCCCUCCCCUUGCCUCAGAUAAACACUGGUGUGGUGAUCGUCUGAUCAAGCAGUGGAGCCAAAGGUCUGUCUUUUUCUUUUGCGAGAAAGCCAAAGGUCUACCUGAACCAAUGAAUUAAGUACACACCGCCACCCACGCACGUAUCCUUCUGCUCGUCGGCCCUUGAAAUGACAUCAUCUUCUUAUGCCACCGUGGCCACCAUCUACCUCUGCAAUUGCACGUCUCAUCCCAGUUGGCGCAAGUAGAGAAGGAGCAAAUGAGACAAGGUUUGUCUAGGGAGUAGGCCACACAGUGUUUAAUGUUUUCUUGUGCAAAAUCCCGCAAAGAAGUAUUCCAGAGGUUUUCGUCAGAAGACAAUCUGAUAUCUGUAUCUCCUCCCUAUUCAGCAAGUUUAUCUUGGUUUUCCUCAAUGCGUCAUUUUUUUUGUAUGUUGCCACGAUUGAGUGGAAAGGAGUUUGUAAGUAUUUCUAUUGGGCCUGAAAUUAUUAGUUGAAUAGCGUGGCAGCGCAGUUACUGACCGUCUCGAUCAGAUCAGCUGGUCUAUUUGUGUUUAUUUCCAAACCGCAUAUUAGAAGGGUUUUAAAUCAGAUUGCCUAGCUGGA
Molecule: long non-coding RNA, 1065 nt
Organism: Brachypodium distachyon (stiff brome)
Lineage: Eukaryota; Viridiplantae; Streptophyta; Magnoliopsida; Poales; Poaceae
Exons: 3
Source: RefSeq, a predicted model, not a curated record